Molecule: unclassified non-coding RNA, 369 nt
Filed under: fungal sp.
Lineage: Eukaryota; Fungi
Description: partial internal transcribed spacer region
Rfam family: Eukaryotic small subunit ribosomal RNA (bases 1-46)
Source: RNAcentral
AAGUCGUAACAAGGUUUCCGUAGGUGAACCUGCGGAAGGAUCAUUAACACGUAUCCAACGUUAAACCCCCCGCGUGGAAAUACGCAAUCCCUGGUAAAUCAUCGCCGAACAGUUUUGAUUCAGGGACUUCGUUGGUCUGGGUAAGAAGACGCGAGGCAAGUGGUCUGGCAUCCCUCUGCUUGUUAGUGUCUGAAAGUGUCACUAGCUCUGUAAGGAUGGCGCAGUAACGAUCGCUAGAGGCCGACACGGCCGGCGACUGGACCGCUGGGUUUUAACCGCUCUGAUCACCUUUGCAUGAAAACGGGCCUGCGCUUAAUUGCGCGGCCACCAAACUUCGAACAACUGUUAACAAUUGAUAUCUUGGUUCUC